Molecule: long non-coding RNA, 2677 nt
Organism: Homo sapiens (human)
Lineage: Eukaryota; Metazoa; Chordata; Mammalia; Primates; Hominidae
Exons: 2
Source: RefSeq, a predicted model, not a curated record
ACUUAAAAGAAUAUGAUUUCAAAUUUUGAAGUGAAUUUAUAUAAAAACGGAAUUUCAACAAGAAAAAUGUCUCUCCUAAAACUAGUUAACUGUAGUGCAUUAAGUAACAAUUUUCGCUGCAUAUAAAUACCACAGAAUUUAAGUUUAAAUGAUACAUUUCAAGUUAUCUCCUCUGCAAAUAUCUAUACAGCCUUGUGAUGAAAUUCAACUCCAUUAACUGCAGGCAAAUGUAUUCAUUUUAAAUGCAUGUAGAGGAUGUUGCUCCAUACUGACUUUAUGAAUCUUUCAUCAAAUUACAGGGUUCUUGACAGCAUCUUUGUCCCAAACUGCAAUUGUAGAUUGUCCAAAUCUACGAUGUUAUCUACCCAACCACUAAAUGUAUGAAAAUGAUACUGGCAAGUGUUAGUGCCAUCAUUCAGUCUUCUCCACUGAGGGAAGAAGGUGGCCAAGAGUUCCGGUUUGUGACUUUGAUGCUGGGGAAGGGCCAUAUCUCACUUUCUGAACAGAAGAAGAGUAGCCUUUCUUAAGAUUUCCUUUUUGAAAUAAUGCUGGAUAAAAUAUUUAAAAUUAUAGAAUUAUAAAAUUUCAAAGCUGGUGUUGGAAGCUCGUUUUUCAUGAAUAAGAAAAUGUUCUUAAAUUCAUUCAAAUUAAGGAACGCAAGGAAUUCAAAAUUUCCUGUUGCGUCUACAGUGAAUACUGAGCAUGGUGGAUGAUGCUAUUUUAUAGAGCAGCCUCUUUUGCUAUUAUGGCCCUCAUAGAUUUGAAUGGUGAAAGAAAGGAACACGUGGUGAUUAUUAAACCAUUUUCCUCUCUACUAAUGUCAAUUAAAAUCUAAUUUAAAACAGUAUUUAUUUGUAUUGUGUAACUAUUUGCUAUUAGGAAUCUGAAUUUUUAGAUAUUUCUAUAAAACUUCCUAUUUAGGGCUUUAAACAAGAUAUUUGCAAUUCAUUAAAUGGUUUUUUAUGUGAUAAAGAUAACUGCUUAACUCUUAUUUCAAAAAUUUAAACCUACAAUAGGCAAAUAUGUAUUUCGUUUUGAAUAAUCAUUUUUUUAAUGUCAAAUAUUUUAAGUAAAAAUUUUAAAGUUAAACAUUACGUAUUUUAUCCAGGAUAAAUUGUGUUGGCCUUCAAUACUAUUUUAGAGGUACCAAUCUUCUUAAUAACUAUUUUUAUUGCUCAAACCCAGAAGGAAGCACAUGCAUCUAAUUAAUGUAAAGUGAGGAGGCAUAAUAUAGAUUUUCUUUACUGAUAUAAUGAACAUAGUGAAAAUAUAUCUGUGCAUUUUUUAUAUUAUUAUUUGAUUUUAAAAAUCUUAUUGAUGUUUGAGAACCCAACAUUGUAGCUAUUAUUUUUAAAGUCAUUAUAUGUGAUUAUAUGCUAUUUUAAUGUUUAUGAUCAAUAUCCAUGAUAACAUUAUUUUGUAAUUGCCUCUUUAUGAAAUCAGGAAAUGUAUAUUUAUAUGGGUGACUUUUUUCCCCAAAAUUUCAGAGUGACCAGAAACAGUCUUAAUUUCUAGGUCUGAAUGUGUUGAUUACUUGAACAGAACACUACUACCCAUUAGAAAAAUUAUGUUUAUUUUUGAUAGAUGUUUUCUAGACUCUUAUAAUUCAUUUAGUUUUCUUUAGGGUCUAAUUUUAGAUGAGACCUUAUUAGGGAAAAUAUUGUUUACAGAAAAAUACAUUUUGAAAAAUUACCUACAGUAAUAAGGAAAUUUUUCUGAAAUGUGAGUUCCGUACCCCUCAGAGAAUGACUUAGAGCCAGUGAGAAGAGAGUGACAUGAAAGUCCUAAGGAAAUCCCUACAAAUAACCUUAAUAAUAUAAAAGGAAGAUAGGACUUAUUUUUAGUGCUUAUUACAUUGGCUAAAAUUUUUAUGUCAGGUGAAAUGUCAAAACAGUUUACUACUAGCUCUCAGCAUUUUAAUCUCAUAUGUCUCUUGAUAUCAAUUUUGGCUAACCAGUAAAAUUUGUUAUUUUUAAGUUUAGGAAAAUGCAAGAAGACAUAUGUAGAUGAGACAAAGAUAGACCAUGUCUAUACAUGUAUGAAAUGGAUGGGAGACAAAGGAAGCAACACUCAUGAGCCAGGACCAUAAAAGCCACAGAAAUAUAAGAAAUGAAUGGGACUACUCUCUGAUCAUUGAAAAAGAGAGACAGAACAUUCGAUGGAGGCAGAAAGAGCAAGGAGUCAGAUGGUAUUGCCUCUGAAUUUGCUGAUUCAGAAGAUGUCGGACUCAUGUUAUCCUAUAGAAGAUGUAACAACCCAUAUACAUUUAUGAAAAUCAGGAACUACAUUAUUAUAAUGAUGAAGGAAAAGCCCAAGAAAUCAACCAACCUGAAACCUGCAAUGAAGCUGUGCAGCUGUCUUUGCCAACAGGGUUCUGCACCUCAAAACUGUAUACCCCACUGUCACUCGGUGCUACAUUGAUGAUCUUAAGGCCGGAUACUUUGUUGAAGAAGCUUAUUUUGUAUUUGUUGUCACUUGUUAGCUCUUUUCCAUCCUUAAACCACUUAGUACUGAGUUCAGGGGUGCCAGCUACUGUACACUCCAAGGUACAGGUGUCUCCCGUGGUAACUUUUAUGGAUUCUGGCUUUUCUACAAUUGUUGCAGGCUCUGGAAUGAAAUGUAAAAGAUAUCCAUAUUUUAAACUCAAAUUGAAAAACUAAAGAAAAUACAGAUCCUG